Molecule: transfer RNA, 90 nt
Filed under: Mycoplasma sp. Pen4
Lineage: Bacteria; Bacillati; Mycoplasmatota; Mollicutes; Mycoplasmatales; Mycoplasmataceae
Description: tRNA-Ser
Rfam family: tRNA
About the family: Transfer RNA (tRNA) molecules are approximately 80 nucleotides in length. Their secondary structure includes four short double-helical elements and three loops (D, anti-codon, and T loops). Further hydrogen bonds mediate the characteristic L-shaped molecular structure. tRNAs have two regions of fundamental functional importance: the anti-codon, which is responsible for specific mRNA codon recognition, and the 3' end, to which the tRNAs corresponding amino acid is attached (by aminoacyl-tRNA synthetases). tRNAs cope with the degeneracy of the genetic code in two manners: having more than one tRNA (with a specific anti-codon) for a particular amino acid; and 'wobble' base-pairing, i.e. permitting non-standard base-pairing at the 3rd anti-codon position.
Source: RNAcentral
GGAUAGUUGGAUGAGCGGUUGAAAUCGGCAGCCUCGAAAACUGUUAAAGUGGCAACACUUUCGGGGGUUCGAAUCCCCCACUAUCCGCCA